RNAcentral lists this long non-coding RNA (2845 nucleotides) under Sus scrofa (pig). RNAcentral's name for it is "lncRNA (ENSSSCG00055007689.1)". The record is from RNAcentral. Lineage: Eukaryota; Metazoa; Chordata; Mammalia; Artiodactyla; Suidae.
UUUUUUUUUUUUUUUUUUUUUUUUUUGGCUGCUCCUGUGGCACAUGGAAGUUCCCAGGCCAGGGAUCAAACUCUUCACCACAGCAGUGACUCAAUUCGUUUCCGCUGCACCACGACGGGAACUUCAGGGGAAAGGAUUAUUUAAAAAAAAAAGAAAAAACAGCUCCCUCCUUUCUUAAACAAAUGGAUUUUUCUGUAUCUCAGUUAUAAGAGGAAUCAGAUGGAUGAGGAUAUGCAAUGGGCAUAGUGAAUGUUUUCUCAUCCAUUUUCAUACCCUCAUGCCCCUGGAUGAUCUAGGAAUCCAGGUUUAAGCCCAUCGGUUGGUGGCGUUCAUCAAUUUCUGAUCAUGAGGAGCAAUUAAUGAAUGAAUUCUAAUUUGGAAAAGCAGAGAAGGGAGUUUUCUGGGGCUACAAUUAAAUUGUACUCUCACAGGAGAGAGUCACAAGAAAAGACUUUUUCUCUUUUCCUGGACGUGGUUGUGGUUACCAGGCUUGGAAUCACUGUAGAGGCUAUUUUGAUAUUUGUCUGGAGACAAAGCUCACAUGUGGAGACAGCAGAGAAUUUCUGAGACACGGAACUGGAGCCCCCUAGAUAGAGUUGGUUCCCAAAGCCUGACUCAACCUUUGUACAUCCAACUCUAUGAGCCAAUAAAAAUUCUUAUUUUUUCUGCCAAGUUGAAUUGGACUUUUUCUUACUGUCAACCAACUUCUCUGCUAACACAGUGUAGAAGCAGGCAUAGAAUCAGCAUGGCUGUGGUGUUGGCAUCUAUUCUGAGCGUCUAGCUGGUCCCCAGUGAUGCGGUAGUGUGACCUCUGUGACCUUCUGCAAUGGGGAAGCAUAUGUACCUAUGUGCCCUAUAUCAUCCUCCCGCUGACCAGGCCCAUUCCUCCUCCUUAGGGGAUCCAUCCUGCCGGCUGUUGGCUGUUCUGCUUACAUAAUAUGAAACUCCUUCCUUCUCCCUCUCUACCUCUCUCACCCAGUCCUGAUUGGCUUGGAAGUGAGUGGCUGACUCAGAAGUAAGCUGGGCUGAGCAAUCAGAUUUUCUGUCUUGUGAACCUGAUGUGGAAAUUGUUUGUUGUCACAGAGUACUUUUAACUGGAAGGUUGGAUGGAUUGCAAAUGUGGAGUGGCUAUUUUUGUGCCAAGGGCUUAACAAAGCAAAGAAAGCUGGUUGGCAGAAGCAGAAUUGGCAAGAAACAGACGUGGAGAAAAGUGUCCCAGGAAGACAGAUCCUUUACUGCCUGGUUCAGGUCUUCCAUGAGACCUGGCUCCAACUUCCUGCCUUCAAGGUCAAAUCUUCCUCUUUCCUUUGUAGCUCUGAAGGGCUUCUGUUUCCUGUGACCAGAGAAACUUGGCUGAGACAAAAAGGGGCGGUUUUCACCUCAAUUUACAGAUGAUACAACUGAAGAUGAGAAAGGUUAACCGAAGCUGAUUUGUAGCAAGCUGGGAGUCAGCCUAGAUUUCCUAACUUUAUAACCUUUAUUUUUCACAUUUCUCUUGCUGGUUAAGUGAUGAAGAGAGACAGAGUCAUCUACUUUACUCCUAAAACAUCCUGAGAGCAUUGCCCAUCAUCUCUCAGAGAAAAGAGAGUCAGCGUUCAGCCGCUUUGUAAUAUCCUUGACAAAAAUUGAAUGGAUUGCAAACUGCCAGACUGAAAACUCCAUAGUAAACUGGGUUCAAUCACUUUAAGUCUGUUUACUUAAAUACUGAUACACAAGUGUAGCUUCUUUAAAUUCUUGAAGAAUAGCAGCUUUGGCAGUGGUACUACAGUUAUUAAUUAUCUUUAAAUAAAUAUCUGUUGCUGUGUAUGCUGGGGCACUCCUGUAUAGAGUUGCCCAUGCAAGAAGCAACCCACUCCAGGUAGCAGCUGACCCUGGGAGUGUCUGCAGCUGUGAAUUUUAAUCUGAAACUCACGAGAAACCAGAACUUAUUUUCUCCAGUCAUGGAAUUUUAAUACUUCUGACCUGUCUCUUCUGGCGAAGAAAUAUCCCAUCUCACCUCAAUGAAGCUGCUCUGGAGAAUAGCUGCUGUUGAUUUCUGCAGUGACCACCCCGCAUUGGUCCCUCAAAUUAAUUUUAGCAUAUGACACAUAGCCUCCAAAUUUAAUGAAAAUCCACUCAGCCAUUAUCUGCGAUACGACAAACAGACUGAAACUUAAUUAUAUUGACAUGGAUUGGAGCUAAUGCUGUCAUAUUUUGCUAGAAAAGCCAUCUCUUUAGGAGCGAUUACAAUUAGAUGUUCGAUUUGGAAAGUGCAACUGUGGAGAAAUGUCUGUGCAGACAAAUGGCAUCUGUACCUUUGGGACAGCCAUCUGGCCAGGGAUUGAAUGUCGUCCUCAUUCAUCCACCUAAUCACAACCUGACUUUGGUCGAAUGGCCUUGAGAAGUGUUGGAUUGUAUGUUAGAACAAGAAAAGACUUCCAAUAAUAUUUAGCGUUAUUCUUGUAGGACCUCUAGCCCUUUUGGUCUUUGAAAGUGAUAAAGAAAACUUUGGUUUCAUGGUACCACCUCCUUUAAUAAGUGGAUUUGUACAACCUUCCUCUGUGUGCAUGCCCAAGUAAAGAAUAUUAAAGGUCUGAUGGUGGAGUUCCCAUUGUGGCGCAGUGGUUAACGAAUCUGACUAAGAACCAUGAGGUUGCGGGUUUGAUCCCUGGCCUUGUUUGGUGGGUUAAGGAUCCCGCAUGGCUGUGAGCUGUAGUGUAGGUCCCAGAUGUUGCUUGGAUCCAGCAUUGCUGUGGUUGUGACAUAGGCCAGCGGCUACAGCUCUGACUCAACCCCUAGCCUGAGAGCCUCCAUAUACCACGAGUGGGACCCUAGAAAGACAAAAAGACAAAAAAAAAAAAAAAAA